GACGAACGCUGGCGGCGUGCCUAAUACAUGCCAGUAGAACGCACAGUUUAUACCGUAGCUUGCUACACCAUAGACUGUGAGUUGCGAACGGGUGAGUAACGCGUAGGUAACCUGCCUGGUAGCGGGGGAUAACUAUUGGAAACGAUAGCUAAUACCGCAUAAUAUUAAUUAUUGCAUGAUAAUUAAUUGAAAGGUGCAAUUGCACCACUACCAGAUGGACCUGCGUUGUAUUAGCUAGUAGGUGAGGUAACGGCUCACCUAGGCGACGAUACAUAGCCGACCGGAGAGGGUGAUCGGCCACACUGGGACUGAGACACGGCCCAGACUCCUACGGGAGGCAGCAGUAGGGAAUCUUCGGCAAUGGACGAAAGUCUGACCGAGCAACGCCGCGUGAGUGAAGAAGGGUUUCGGAUCGUAAAGCUCUGUUGUAAGAGAAGAACGGGUGUGAGAGUGGAAAGUUCACACUGUGACGGUAUCUUACCAGAAAGGGACGGCUAACUACGUG
Molecule: ribosomal RNA, 505 nt
Filed under: uncultured bacterium
Lineage: Bacteria
Description: partial 16S ribosomal RNA
Rfam family: Bacterial small subunit ribosomal RNA
Source: RNAcentral